UACGGAAGGCAGCAGUGGGGAAUAUUGCACAAUGGGCGCAAGCCUGAUGCAGCCAUGCCGCGUGUAUGAAGAAGGCCUUCGGGUUGUAAAGUACUUUCAGUCGUGAGGAAGGUGUUAAGGUUAAUAACCUUAGCAAUUGACGUUAGCGACAGAAGAAGCACCGGCUAACUCCGUGCCAGCAGCCGCGGUAAUACGGAGGGUGCGAGCGUUAAUCGGAAUUACUGGGCGUAAAGGGCACGCAGGCGGUUAAUUAAGUUGGAUGUGAAGUCCCCGGGCUUAACCUGGGAAUGGCAUUCAAGCUGGUUAGCUAGAGUCUUGUAGAGGGGGUAGAAUUCCAUGUGUAGCGGUGAAAUGCGUAGAGAUGUGGAGGAAUACCGGUGGCGAAGGCGGCCCCUGGACAAAGACUGACGCUCAUGUGCGAAAGCGUGGGGAGCAAACGAGGAUUAGACUAC
This 452-nucleotide ribosomal RNA is filed under the name uncultured bacterium. RNAcentral describes it as "bacterial SSU rRNA". It matches the Rfam family "Bacterial small subunit ribosomal RNA", at positions 340 to 786 of the family's 1533-position model. The record is from RNAcentral.